This 453-nucleotide ribosomal RNA is filed under the name uncultured Parabacteroides sp. RNAcentral describes it as "partial 16S ribosomal RNA". It matches the Rfam family "Bacterial small subunit ribosomal RNA", at positions 341 to 792 of the family's 1533-position model. The record is from RNAcentral. Lineage: Bacteria; Pseudomonadati; Bacteroidota; Bacteroidia; Bacteroidales; Tannerellaceae.
ACGGAAGGCAGCAGUGAGGAAUAUUGGACAAUGGGGGCACCCUGAUCCAGCCAAACCGCGUGAGGGAUGAAGGUCCUACGGAUCGUAAACCUCUUUUAUGUGGGAAUAAUUGCUGGUAUGCAUACCAGCUUGAAGGUACCGCUUGGAUAAGCAUCGGCUAACUCCGUGCCAGCAGCCGCGGUAAUACGGAGGAUGCAGGCGUUAUCCGGAUUUAUUAGGUUUAAAGGGUGCGCAGGCGGGACAUUAUGUCGGUUGUGAAAUACCGUGGCCCAACCACGGGGCUGCCAUCGAUACUGAUGACCUUGAGUGCGUGUGACGUAGGCGGAAUGUGACGUGUAGCGGUGAAAUGCUUAGAUAUGUCACAGAACACCGAUUGCGAAGGCAGCCUACGAACACGUAACUGACGCUCAUGCACGAAAGCGCGGGUAGCGAACAGGAUUAGAUACCCUGGUA